RNAcentral lists this ribosomal RNA (888 nucleotides) under Nigrospora oryzae. RNAcentral describes it as "partial large subunit ribosomal RNA". It matches the Rfam family "Eukaryotic large subunit ribosomal RNA", at positions 40 to 955 of the family's 3401-position model. Lineage: Eukaryota; Fungi; Ascomycota; Sordariomycetes; Amphisphaeriales; Apiosporaceae. The record is from RNAcentral.
AUAUCAAUAAGCGGAGGAAAAGAAACCAACAGGGAUUCCCCCAGUAACGGCGAGUGAAGCGGGAACAGCUCAAAUUUGAAAUCUGGCCCUCGGGUCCGAGUUGUAAUUUGUAGAGGAUGCUUUUGGUGCGGUGCCUUCCGAGUUCCCUGGAACGGGACGCCUUAGAGGGUGAGAGCCCCGUACGGUUGGACGCCUAGCCUCUGUAAAGCUCCUUCGACGAGUCGAGUAGUUUGGGAAUGCUGCUCUAAAUGGGAGGUAUAUUUCUUCUAAAGCUAAAUACCGGCCAGAGACCGAUAGCGCACAAGUAGAGUGAUCGAAAGAUGAAAAGCACUUUGAAAAGAGGGUUAAAUAGCACGUGAAAUUGUUGAAAGGGAAGCGUUUAUCACCAGACUUUUUCUAGGGGGAUCAUCCGGGGUUCUCCCCGGUGCACUUCCCCUAGUUGAGGCCAGCAUCGGUUUUCGGAGGGGGAUAAAAGUUUCGGGAAUGUGACUCCCCCGGGAGUGUUAUAGCCCGUUACAUAAUACCCUUCUGGGGACCGAGGUUCGCGCAUCUGCAAGGAUGCUGGCAUAAUGGUGAUCAACGACCCGUCUUGAAACACGGACCAAGGAGUCGAACAUUUAUGCGAGUGUUUGGGUGUCAAACCCUCACGCGUAAUGAAAGUGAACGGAGGUGAGAGCCCUUACGGGUGCAUCAUCGACCGAUCCUGAUGUCUUCGGAUGGAUUUGAGUAAGAGCAUAACUGUUCGGACCCGAAAGAUGGUGAACUAUGCGUGGAUAGGGUGAAGCCAGGAGAAAUCCUGGUGGAGGCUCGCAGCGGUUCUGACGUGCAAAUCGAUCGUCAAAUCUGCGCAUGGGGGCGAAAGACUAAUCGAACCAUCUAGUAGCUGGU